Molecule: ribosomal RNA, 420 nt
Filed under: Fusobacteriota bacterium
Lineage: Bacteria; Fusobacteriati; Fusobacteriota
Description: Fusobacteria bacterium partial 16S ribosomal RNA
Rfam family: Bacterial small subunit ribosomal RNA
Source: RNAcentral
UGGGGGAUAUUGCACAAUGGGCGAAAGCCUGAUGCAGCGACGCCGCGUGGGGGAUGAAGGCCUUCGGGUUGUAAACUUCUUUUGCUCUGAACAAGGCAUGCCUUUGGGGUGUGUUGAGUGUAGGGGUUGAUUAGCGCCGGCUAACUACGUGCCAGCAGCCGCGGUAAUACGUAGGGCGCGAGCGUUGUCCGGAAUUAUUGGGCGUAAAGGGCUUGUAGGUGGCUGGUUGCGUCUGUCGUGAAAGCUCAUGGCUUAACUGUGGGUUUGCGGUGGGUACGGGCUGGCUUGAGUGAAGUAGGGGAGGCUGGAAUUCCUGGUGUAGCGGUGGAAUGCGCAGAUAUCAGGAGGAAUACCGGUGGCGAAGGCGGGUCUCUGGGCUGUUACUGACGCUGAGGAGCGAAAGCGUGGGGAGCGAACAGG